This 491-nucleotide ribosomal RNA is filed under the name uncultured bacterium. Its description in RNAcentral is "partial 16S ribosomal RNA". It matches the Rfam family "Bacterial small subunit ribosomal RNA", at positions 29 to 507 of the family's 1533-position model. The record is from RNAcentral.
GUGAACGCUGGCGGUAGGCCUAACACAUGCAAGUCGCACGGCAGCACAGUAAGAGCUUGCUCUUACGGGUGGCGAGUGGCGGACGGGUGAGGAAUACAUCGGAAUCUACUUUUUCGUGGGGGAUAACGUAGGGAAACUUACGCUAAUACCGCAUACGACCUACGGGUGAAAGCAGGGGAUCUUCGGACCUUGCGCGGUUGAAUGAGCCGAUGUCGGAUUAGCUAGUUGGCGGGGUAAAGGCCCACCAAGGCGACGAUCCGUAGCUGGUCUGAGAGGAUGAUCAGCCACACUGGAACUGAGACACGGUCCAGACUCCUACGGGAGGCAGCAGUGGGGAAUAUUGGACAAUGGGCGCAAGCCUGAUCCAGCCAUACCGCGUGGGUGAAGAAGGCCUUCGGGUUGUAAAGCCCUUUUGUUGGGAAAGAAAAGCAGCAGGUUAAUACCCCGCUGUUCUGACGGUACCCAAAGAAUAAGCACCGGCUAACUUCGUG